RNAcentral lists this small RNA (552 nucleotides) under Pan troglodytes (chimpanzee). RNAcentral's name for it is "processed transcript". Lineage: Eukaryota; Metazoa; Chordata; Mammalia; Primates; Hominidae. The record is from RNAcentral.
GCUUCUUCCCGCGCGGCUCCGCCUGCCGCGCGCUUCCGCUGCUGGCCAGUCCUUCUGCCCCUCCCCCUCCUGUACGGCCGCUACUCUGCGCCCGGCUUCCUUCUCACAACCUGGUUCUGCCCACACCUGUUCUUCAGCCCUGUGAACAGUGGCUGUAGAACAGUCUCAGGCCCUGCAGACCCACCUCCCUCGCUCCCGUGGUGGCGGUGGUGACGGGCUGGGGACGUGGGGUAGAAAAAUGGGCGGGAUGUGGAAGGCCGCGUUGCCGGGGCCCACUUCCGGAGGACGGGCGGAAGUGGCUGCGGUGGAUGGUUAACACAGAAAUCUGCCUCCUGGGCCAUGCCGCUUCUAAGGCCUGUUUCUUCUCAUGAGCCCCAGCACAAGACAGAUGGGCCAGUUCUCACAGUGGAUAACUUCCCCUGCCUGAGCAAGAGAUGGGAUAGUAUCUGGGAUCUGUCCAUCACCAGACUCUGAGCUUAAUAAGGCAGCUGAAUGAAGGGAGGUAACGGACCCCUGAGAGGGGCACUGAAGUCUGCAGUGGGGGGGGAGGGG